RNAcentral lists this ribosomal RNA (460 nucleotides) under uncultured bacterium. RNAcentral describes it as "partial 16S ribosomal RNA". It matches the Rfam family "Bacterial small subunit ribosomal RNA", at positions 338 to 795 of the family's 1533-position model. The record is from RNAcentral.
CCUACGGUAUGCAGCAGUGAGGAAUAUUGGUCAAUGGGCGCGAGCCUGAACCAGCCAAGUAGCGUGAAGGAUGACUGCCCUACGGGUUGUAAACUUCUUUUAUAAAGGAAUCAAGUGAGGCCCGUGUGCCUUUUUGUAUUUACUUUAUGAUUAAGGAUCGGCUAACUCCGUGCCAGCAGCCGCGGUAAUACGGAGGAUCCGAGCGUUAUCCGGAUUUCUUGGGUUUAAUGGGGGCGUAGAUGGGUUGUUAAGUCAGUUUUGAAAGUUUGCGGCUCAACCGUAAAAUUGCAAUUGAUACUGGCAGCCUUGAGUACAGUUGAGGUAGGCGGAAUUCGUGGUGUAGCGGUGAAAUGCUUAGAUAUCACGAAGAACUCCGAUUGCGAAGGCAGCCUACUAAACUGCCACUGACAUUGAUGCUCGAAAGUGUGGGUAUCAAACAGGAUUAGAUACCCGUGUAGUC